This 1366-nucleotide long non-coding RNA is filed under the name Calidris pygmaea (Spoon-billed sandpiper). RNAcentral describes it as "lncRNA (ENSCPGG00000007118.1)". Lineage: Eukaryota; Metazoa; Chordata; Aves; Charadriiformes; Scolopacidae. The record is from RNAcentral.
CCAGGAUUCAGUUCAGGCCAAGUGUUUUGUUUUGUUUGUUUAUCUAAGAUACGUUUUUGGAUGCUUAGCAGGAGAAAAAAAAAAACACCAACAGAACUGAUGGAUGUUAAUUCUGUUUGUUUCAGAUCUUCCUCUGGCAGCUGGAUGAGAAGGGAAUGCCACCGCGAAGGAAGGAUUACCGAGGGGAGGUUCGAGUUGUAUUGGAAGGGAACACAAGCGCCGUGCGUUACGCGUGUCACCACCACAGCAGGUGGUUCUUCCCAAACAAAGAUAAGCAGCCAGAAUACGUUCCUUGAAGAGUUGGGCCUAGCAAUAUGGCAGCGCACAGUCGAUAAGGAAUCUUGCAAAAUGCUGCUAUUGAGGUAAUUUGGUUUCUCAUAUAUUCUCCAAUCAGUACCUUCCUUUUCCUUAUAAUUUCUUAAAAUCAUUUGAAGUACAGAAAUCUAUUGAUACAGGUCUUUAAACUCAAGAUAGAGUGUGUGUGUAUAUAAAUAUAUAUAUAUAUGUAUAUAUGUUUAUGGGCCUAAAUAGAUUGGGCUUAAAAUUGGGAGAAAGGGGUGGGGGAAAAGAAUGGGAAUUAUUUAGCAGUCGUGUUUCUUAUUUGUCUUAUUUUCGUGGUAGAAGUACGAAAUGGCUGCAAACAGUUUUUUACUCAGGCACACAAUGCAUUCCAUAAUGAUCGAUUUUCCUGGACAGGGCAUUUAUGCUUUGUGGUUUGCAAGAAUACCACCCACAGACCAAAACCAAUGUUAGGUCUUCAGAGACUUUAUUUCUCCAUGUUUCCUUCUAUAUUCCUUUGGCUAUAAAUCUAUAAAAUGCCAGUCUUUUGCUGGGUUAAUGCUAACGAAAGUGUAUUAUUUUUUUUGGCCGUCCCAGGUUCUAGUACCAAAGCCUUGUUGAUCCUGUGAUCAUUGGCAUAUUCUAAAUUUCAGAGUGAAGCAAAGUAUCCUUAGGAUAAGGAAAUCACAAUCCUUAAUGUACAGGUUAAUACUUUUUAUUUAUAAUCUUAGCAUUCUAGACAAAUACAGUGUGAAGAUGAUUGAUUUGUUUGUCUAUCAUGGAUUUUCUGCCACUGGGUAUAUAUUCAUCAGGUUUUCAAAAGGUACAAUAGCUGUAUGAUUAAUCAAUGGAGGGAAAUGUUUCAAAAGCCAGAUCUUGUAAAAUCUAUGGCUCCCAUUCACUCUCCCUGAAUAUAGUUCAUGUAAGUGAAAUUCAUCUUUAAAAAAGCAGUGCUCAUUCAAAAAAAAAACAAAACAAAACAAAACUGUGUUCAUUUGCUGCUGCCUUUAUCAGUUUCAGUGUCUCAAAGAUUGUCCGUUUUUCAGUUUGUUUUCCAAAAAUGUAUGAAAAGGAGCAGCUUGGGUCC